GUCCACGCCCUAAACGAUGUCAACUAGUUGUUCGGAGAGGUAACUUUCUGAGUAACGCAGCUAACGCGUGAAGUUGACCGCCUGGGGAGUACGGCCGCAAGGUUAAACUCAAAGGAAUUGACGGGACCCGCACAAGCGGUGGAUGAUGUGGAUUAAUUCGAUGCAACGCGAAAACCUUACCUACCCUUGACAUGCCUGGAAUCCUGCAGAGAUGCGGGAGUGCCUUCGGGAGCCAGGACACAGGUGCUGCAUGGCUGUCGU
This 261-nucleotide ribosomal RNA is filed under the name uncultured bacterium. Its description in RNAcentral is "partial 16S ribosomal RNA". It matches the Rfam family "Bacterial small subunit ribosomal RNA", at positions 793 to 1055 of the family's 1533-position model. The record is from RNAcentral.